RNAcentral lists this ribosomal RNA (397 nucleotides) under uncultured bacterium. RNAcentral's name for it is "partial 16S ribosomal RNA". It matches the Rfam family "Bacterial small subunit ribosomal RNA", at positions 523 to 918 of the family's 1533-position model. The record is from RNAcentral.
AUACGUAGGGGGCGAGCGUUGUCCGGAAUGAUUGGGCGUAAAGGGCGCGUAGGCGGCGCGGUAAGUCUGGAGUGAAAGUCCUGCUUUCAAGGUGGGAAUUGCUUUGGAUACUGCCGCGCUUGAGUGCAGGAGAGGUUAUCAGAAUUCCCGGUGUAGCGGUGAAAUGCGUAGAGAUCGGGAGGAACACCAGUGGCGAAGGCGGGUAACUGGACUGCAACUGACGCUGAGGCGCGAAAGUGUGGGGAGCAAACAGGAUUAGAUACCCUGGUAGUCCACACUGUAAACGAUGAAUGCUAGGUGUAGGGGGUAUCGACCCCUUCUGUGCCGCAGUCAACACAAUAAGCAUUCCGCCUGGGGAGUACGGCCGCAAGGUUGAAACUCAAAUGAAUUGACGGGG